RNAcentral lists this long non-coding RNA (662 nucleotides) under Rattus norvegicus (Norway rat). RNAcentral's name for it is "long non-coding RNA NONRATT007574". The record is from RNAcentral. Lineage: Eukaryota; Metazoa; Chordata; Mammalia; Rodentia; Muridae.
GACAUUUUCAAACCUAAACUCUUAGUGGGAGAAAGAAGCCCUGAAAUGAAAAGUUGGAUUAACUCCCGAACAAAAACUAAUUAGUAGCAGGAAACCCAAAAGGUACACAAUGGAGUCAAGACAGAACUCGGAAGCCCUUGAGUCCGCUGUGGGCUGUUCAGAAGCCCUUAAGUCUGCUGUGAGCUGUUUGGUGUGGUGGGCGCCCCAUGGAGAGCACUGGAGCUCGCUCCCACCCUCCGCUGACCUCACUUUUGCAGAGACUGGCUUUACCUUGCUAGUCUUUCUCUUGAGAAAUCAGUUCUCCUCUAUGAUCAGCUGUCCGCCCCCGCAGCAGGUGGAUUUGGCCGGGGUGGGGGGUGGGGGUGGAGCAGGUGUGACUUCCUUUUUGGUCAUGAGCUGGAAAGGCAUAGAAACCUGACAGAGUCAGGUUUGGGGUUUAGGACCCCCGAAGGGCAAUAUAGCUCAGGCAUUUUCAUCUGACUCGCAGGCUGUCCAGUUUCCACAAGGAAGCAGUAACUGGGACAGGUUCUCUGCUUCUUUGCUUUGACCCAAGAAAUUACCCUAUGUCUGUUCUUCAAUGGGCACCUUGCUUGUUGGCUUCCAGAAGGGUUUAGCCAUAGGAAGCAUAAGGAGGAGAAGGAAGAGAGGGAAAUGAAAGUCAG